GCCUUCGUGGUGUAGUGGUCAGCAUGCUGGGUGCGUAUUCCAGAGGUCCGUGGUUCGAGUCCCGCCGAAGGUA
RNAcentral lists this transfer RNA (73 nucleotides) under Stegodyphus mimosarum. It matches the Rfam family "tRNA". From Rfam's summary of the family: Transfer RNA (tRNA) molecules are approximately 80 nucleotides in length. Their secondary structure includes four short double-helical elements and three loops (D, anti-codon, and T loops). The record is from Rfam by way of RNAcentral. Lineage: Eukaryota; Metazoa; Arthropoda; Arachnida; Araneae; Eresidae.